GGGUCCCUCUUUUAUAGGCGGGGAGUGCGAUAGACUGAUAGCGACUGUUUGUAACUGCCUAGUCGUGGGCCGCACGGGGCCAAGAGGAAUUUAUCAUGAAGAGUAAUGGGGUGGAGUCGUGGCGGUCACCAUGGCUCGCCAUGUGGAGUCAGUUGCGGAGAAUAGAGCGGCGUCCGUUGUCGCGACUCAUCAGAGAGUGGUGGAGCUGUGCAGAAUCAGUCGCAGGAGGUGGAGCAAAAUCGUGGCCAUUAUUGCGGUCAACCAGGGAGUGAUGGAGCCGCAUGGAAUCUAUUACAGGAGGUGGAGCAGAGUCGUGGUCGUUACUGUGGCCUGUCAGAGAGUCC
Molecule: long non-coding RNA, 344 nt
Filed under: Elaeis guineensis (African oil palm)
Lineage: Eukaryota; Viridiplantae; Streptophyta; Magnoliopsida; Arecales; Arecaceae
Description: long non-coding RNA (EGUI_LNC081230)
Source: RNAcentral